UUGCAGGGUACUCGAGUGGCGAACGGGUGAGUAACACGUGGGUGAUCUGCCCUGCACUUCGGGAUAAGCUUGGGAAACUGGGUCUAAUACCGGAUAGGAACCAUCUUUAGUGUGGUGGUUGGAAAGUUUUUUCGGUGUAGGAUGAGCUCGCGGCCUAUCAGCUUGUUGGUGGGGUAAUGGCCUACCAAGGCGGCGACGGGUAGCCGGCCUGAGAGGGUGUACGGCCACAUUGGGACUGAGAUACGGCCCAGACUCCUACGGGAGGCAGCAGUGGGGAAUAUUGCACAAUGGGCGCAAGCCUGAUGCAGCGACGCCGCGUGGGGGAUGAAGGCCUUCGGGUUGUAAACUCCUUUCGCUAGGGACGAAGCUUUUUUGUGACGGUACCUAGAUAAGAAGCACCGGCUAACUACGUGCCAGCAGCCGCGGUAAUACGUAGGGUGCGAGCGUUGUCCGGAAUUACUGGGCGUAAAGGGCUCGUAGGUGGUUUGUCGCGUCGUCUGUGAAAUUCUGGGGCUUAACUCCGGGCGUGCAGGCGAUACGGGCAUAACUUGAGUGCUGUAGGGGUAACUGGAAUUCCUGGUGUAGCGGUGAAAUGCGCAGAUAUCAGGAGGAACACCGAUGGCGAAGGCAGGUUACUGGGCAGUUACUGACGCUGAGGAGCCGAAAGGCAUGGGUAGCGAACAGGAUUAGAUACCCUGGUAGUCCAUGCCGUAAACGGUGGGCGCUAGGUGUGAGGGUCUUUCUACGACUUUCGUGCCGUAGCUAACGCAUUAAGCGCCCCGCCUGGGGAGUACGCCGCAAGGCUA
Molecule: ribosomal RNA, 806 nt
Filed under: uncultured Actinomycetes bacterium
Lineage: Bacteria; Bacillati; Actinomycetota; Actinomycetes
Description: bacterial SSU rRNA
Rfam family: Bacterial small subunit ribosomal RNA
Source: RNAcentral